UACGAAGGGGGCUAGCGUUGUUCGGAAUUACUGGGCGUAAAGCGCACGUAGGCGGACUCUUAAGUCGGUGGUGAAAUCCUGGAGCUCAACUCCAGAACUGCCUUCGAUACUGGGAGUCUUGAGUCCGGGAGAGGUGAGUGGAACUGCGAGUGUAGAGGUGAAAUUCGUAGAUAUUCGCAAGAACACCAGUGGCGAAGGCGGCUCACUGGCCCGGUACUGACGCUGAGGUGCGAAAGCGUGGGGAGCAAACAGG
RNAcentral lists this ribosomal RNA (253 nucleotides) under uncultured bacterium. RNAcentral's name for it is "partial 16S ribosomal RNA". It matches the Rfam family "Bacterial small subunit ribosomal RNA", at positions 524 to 776 of the family's 1533-position model. The record is from RNAcentral.